This 114-nucleotide ribosomal RNA is filed under the name Pteropus alecto (black flying fox). Lineage: Eukaryota; Metazoa; Chordata; Mammalia; Chiroptera; Pteropodidae. The record is from RNAcentral.
GUCUAUGGCCAUGCCACCCUCGACAAGCCCAAUCCCAUCUGAUCUCGGAAGCAGGGUCUGGCCUGGUUAGUACUUGGAUGGGAAACCACCUUGGAAUACCAGGUGCUGUAGGUG